AGUGAACGCUGGCGGUAGGCCUAACACAUGCCAGUCGAACGGAAGCACAGUAAGAGCUUGCUCUUACGGGUGGCGAGUGGCGGACGGGUGAGGAAUACAUCAGAAUCUACUUUUUCGUGGGGGAUAACGUAGGGAAACUUACGCUAAUACCGAAUACGUCCUACGGGUGAAAGCAGGGGAUAUUCGGAUCUUGCGCGAUUGAAUGAGCCGAUGCCGGAUUAGCUAGUUGGCGGGGUAAAGGCCCACCAAGGCGACGAUCCGUAGCUGGUCUGAGAGGAUGAUCAGCCACACUGGAACUGAGACACGGUCCAGACUCCUACGGGAGGCAGCAGUGGGGAAUAUUGGACAAUGGGCGCAAGCCUGAUCCAGCCAUACCGCGUGAGUGAAGAAGGCCUUCGGGUUGUAAAGCCCUUUUGUUGGGAAAGAAAAGCAGCAGGUUAAUACCCCGCUGUUCUGACGGUACCCAAAGAAUAAGCACCGGCUAACUUCGUG
RNAcentral lists this ribosomal RNA (492 nucleotides) under uncultured bacterium. Its description in RNAcentral is "partial 16S ribosomal RNA". It matches the Rfam family "Bacterial small subunit ribosomal RNA", at positions 29 to 507 of the family's 1533-position model. The record is from RNAcentral.